This is a long non-coding RNA of Perca fluviatilis (European perch), 586 nucleotides long. RefSeq lists it as uncharacterized. NCBI's taxonomy places the organism in Eukaryota, Metazoa, Chordata, Actinopteri, Perciformes, Percidae. The record is from RefSeq and is a predicted model, not a curated record. The transcript is spliced from 3 exons.
UUGAUUUUGUGUUACUGGAUGGAGACUUGUACGUUUGCUGUUGGAAUGACCACUCUGAACAACAGGCAAAUUUAGCCUGCAAUACCUCGGCAAAGAGCACGGACAAGGGACGUGUAAUCAUCGCUGAUCUGAAGAACAAGUCCAGGUUUAUUGGUGGCUGGUUACUCUUUGGUAUCGUAUUUGUGGGAUCUUUGCCUCCAUUAUAUGCAUGGAGGAAAUGCUGCAAAACAUGUUGCUGCAACAGUCAUUUUACGUAUCACCAACUGAUAUUGGAGGAGGAAGAAAUCGUGCUGAAAGAGAUUAUGAGGGAAUCGGCAAAAGAAAAGUUGACUAGAGAAGUCAAGGAGAGAAUACGUAAUCAACAAUGGGAAGCGUGUUUUGAUGUGGCUGAUGAGCUGAUUAAUGCGUCUACUGAACCGAACAUUUCUGAUCUUGAGAAGCAACAAAAACAACAAGGGGCUCACGAAACCCAGGACCAGGACUAUGGACUAUGGAGGCUAGAGGAACCGAGGCGAGAAGUACCGAGGCAAGAAGUACCGAGUCAAGAGGAACUGAGGCAAGAAGUACUGAGGCAAGAAGUACUGAG